This 412-nucleotide long non-coding RNA is filed under the name Solanum tuberosum (potato). RNAcentral describes it as "long non-coding RNA (STUB_LNC001644)". The record is from RNAcentral. Lineage: Eukaryota; Viridiplantae; Streptophyta; Magnoliopsida; Solanales; Solanaceae.
UGGAUCAUAUCAAUCAGACUGUUAGGAACCUUUACUCACAUAGUUUUAGCCUGGCAAAAGUACAUGAAAACCCCUACUCUCCGGGACCGCCCUCCACAUGGGUAAUCCAAUGGAUAAUCCAACGGAUUCCUUCGGCGGCUUUUCAUAAAUUUGUCUGGAUAAACUAUAUAUGACCUUAGUCUAACCAAUCAAUCUGUCAUCAUAAUAGACACAACGUCAUUUCUUAUAGUAACUUAGUAUGUUACAGCUCAACACUAAUAGUUUAGCCCAUCAUUUGGGCUCAACACAUAAAGAAAAUUAAAAUAGAAAGAAUAGUACCUGAGAACAAGGCUUUAAUUUCGUCUUGUAUCAACCAAACUUAAAAACUUUUAUUCAAACUUUAAAAUUUUAGAGAGAAAAUAUUACAAUAAAG